This 220-nucleotide ribosomal RNA is filed under the name uncultured bacterium. RNAcentral's name for it is "partial 16S ribosomal RNA". It matches the Rfam family "Bacterial small subunit ribosomal RNA", at positions 57 to 305 of the family's 1533-position model. The record is from RNAcentral.
GCAAGUCGAGCGCUACCUUCGGGUGGAGCGGCGGACGGGUUAGUAACGCGUGGGAACAUACCCUUUUCUAUGGAAUAGCCUCGGGAAACUGAGAGUAAUACCAUAUACGCCCUUCGGGGGAAAGAUUUAUCGGUGAAGGAUUGGCCCGCGUUAGAUUAGAUAGUUGGUGAGGUAAUGGCUCACCAAGGCGACGAUCAAUAGCUGGUCUGAGAGGAUGAUC